Passer domesticus (house sparrow) is the source of this 349-nucleotide long non-coding RNA. RefSeq lists it as uncharacterized. Lineage: Eukaryota; Metazoa; Chordata; Aves; Passeriformes; Passeridae. The transcript is spliced from 3 exons. The record is from RefSeq and is a predicted model, not a curated record.
AGCUUGCUCUGCAGGCUGCCACAUGUGCCUGACAAGCCUCAGAUUCCAGAGCUCUAUGGCUCAUCUGCUUGCUAAACCUGUAUUUUCCUACACUGACUUAGCACAAGAGUCCUCUAGAAGUGCACUGAGAAUGAGAUAGAUUGAAAGUGAGCUGGAGGUGAGCUGAAAAUAAACAUAUCAAAUAGGAGACAAGCAGAGAGCACAUCCCCAGGUAAAAACGGAGGCUGCUCCACAGAUAAUUUAGGAUGGUGUCCAUAAGUAAUUUCAUGACAUUUUCUUUUUGAAAAACUGAGGAAGAAAGGUCUCAUUGUAGACAGAAAUUCUAGACAGAAAAUGGUUUUACAAACCA